Long non-coding RNA from Raphanus sativus (radish), 1036 nucleotides. RefSeq lists it as uncharacterized. The record is from RefSeq and is a predicted model, not a curated record. Lineage: Eukaryota; Viridiplantae; Streptophyta; Magnoliopsida; Brassicales; Brassicaceae. The transcript has 4 exons.
CGCCGUUAGAGAUUGAGAUGGUGGAGAAAGCGUGAAUAAUAUUCUCUGUGUUUCGAUUUUGACGUUUGAUCUUCGUCUUCCUCAACAGAAACGCUCACAUUACAGAUUCAUCCCAUUAAUCCUCUUAUUAAAUCCAUCAACCAUGAUCUAGCUUUCAAUGCGAGUUUCUUUUGUGAGAAGCGGUGUAUCUGCGAGUAUAUAUAGGUAACCUUGCUCCUGUCUCAGAGCAAUCUGAACUUAAAGCUGCUCGACUCUCCUCUAUCGAUUUGACUCAAUCGUCGAAGUGCGUCUCCACCGCCAAACUGCGUCUCAUCAGAAUCUGUUAAAAUGGAGAGAUUGCACGAAAGAUACUUUCUUCAAAGACCAAAUGUUAAAAGUUGGAGUUUCUCCCAAAGAGUUCAUAGACAAAGAAGUUUAUAUAGAUUUGGAUGAUGUUGAAGUUUAUGAAGAUCUUCGUUAAGACACACCAACUUCGAGAUCGAAGUGAAUCCGGCGGAUACGAUCUCUGAUACUAAAAGAAGAGUAGAACUCAUCAAGGUGCGCUAUACCCGGCUGCCCAGCAGAUGCUAAUCCACCAAGGAAAAGUUUUCAAGGGUGAGACAACAUUGGAAGAGAACAACGUUGUUGAGAACAGUUUCAUUGUCAUCAUUUUGUCUAAGGUCAAGCGUGGAGAGCCAGAUGCUGAACGUUCUAAUCAAGGCUAUUAAUGAAAAGCUGCAACGCUCUUAGAAUUAACUUGUGGAGUUUAGGUCUCCUAGCAACUGUUCUUAUACAGUUGAAAUCUGCAACUUGGUUUAGGUCUCAGUUUUUAUUUCAGCUCUUACGAUGAGCUUGGAGAGAGAGAGUACUAAUCAUAUUCACAACGCUGCGAUAGCUAUCAACAGUAGCAUCCUUAGUGUCUUACAUGUCAACUCUUCCAAAGGUUUAUUGUAACGUUCAAGACCUAUGUUACCGCUGAGAGCAGAUACUUUGUUCUACUAGCUGAUUCUCAGUAUAAAUAUUUAUAAAAUAAAUACAUUAUAAUAUUUUAUUAACA